GAUCCUGGCUCAGGAUGAACGCUAGCUACAGGCUUAACACAUGCAAGUCGAGGGGCAGCAUGAACUUAGCUUGCUAAGUUUGAUGGCGACCGGCGCACGGGUGAGUAACACGUAUCCAACCUGCCGAUGACUCGGGGAGUAGCCUUUCGAAAGAAAGAUAAUACCGACUGGCGAUAGUUCUUUCCGUCCAUGGUAGGAACUAAUUAAAGUAAAAUUUAACGGUUACCGUAUCGAUGGGAGUGCGGUUCCUACUUAGGUUUGG
RNAcentral lists this ribosomal RNA (262 nucleotides) under uncultured bacterium. RNAcentral's name for it is "partial 16S ribosomal RNA". It matches the Rfam family "Bacterial small subunit ribosomal RNA", at positions 15 to 253 of the family's 1533-position model. The record is from RNAcentral.